GAAAUGCGAUAAGUAAUGUGAGUUGCAGAAUUCAGUGAAUCAUCGAAUCUUUGAACGCACAUUGCGCCCGCCAGUAUUCUGGCGGGCAUGCCUGUUCGAGCGUCAUUUCAACCAUCAAGCCCCCGGGCUUGUGUUGGGGACCUGCGGCUGCCGCAGGCCCCGAAAACCAGUGGCGGGCUCGCUGUCACACCGGGCGUAGUAGAUUUUUCGUCUCGCCCAGGGCGUGCUGCGGGUUCCGGCCGUUAAAAAGCCUCUCUUUUUAACCCAAGGUUGACCUCGGAUCAGGUAGGAAGACCCGCUGAACUUAAGC
Molecule: unclassified non-coding RNA, 310 nt
Filed under: plant metagenome
Description: partial contains 5.8S ribosomal RNA, internal transcribed spacer 2, and large subunit ribosomal RNA
Rfam family: 5.8S ribosomal RNA (bases 1-105)
Source: RNAcentral